Molecule: ribosomal RNA, 484 nt
Filed under: uncultured bacterium
Lineage: Bacteria
Description: partial 16S ribosomal RNA
Rfam family: Bacterial small subunit ribosomal RNA
Source: RNAcentral
AUUGAACGCUGGCGGCAGGCCUAACACAUGCAAGUCGAGCGGAUGAAGGGAGCUUGCUCCUGGAUUCAGCGGCGGACGGGUGAGUAAUGCCUAGGAAUCUGCCUGGUAGUGGGGGAUAACGUCCGGAAACGGGCGCUAAUACCGCAUACGUCCUGAGGGAGAAAGUGGGGGAUCUUCGGACCUCACGCUAUCAGAUGAGCCUAGGUCGGAUUAGCUAGUUGGUGGGGUAAAGGCCUACCAAGGCGACGAUCCGUAACUGGUCUGAGAGGAUGAUCAGUCACACUGGAACUGAGACACGGUCCAGACUCCUACGGGAGGCAGCAGUGGGGAAGAUUGGACGAUGGGCGAAAGCCUGAUCCAUCCAUGCCGCGUGUGUGAAGAAGGUCUUCGGAUUGUAAAGCACUUUAAGUUGGGAGGAAGGGCAGUAAGUUAAUACCUUGCUGUUUUGACGUUACCAACAGAAUAAGCACCGGCUAACUUCGUG